GAGGGGGCGGUGCUGGGCGUGUGCGUGCGCGCGCUUGGACGGUAGUAGCGGACGAGGAAGGCGGUGGGAGAGGCCCGAGGUUGAGAGGCCGGCGAAAGGGGGUCAGUUUUUUUUCCUCCCUCUCUGUAUGGUGUUUAAAGGAAAUAGCACGGACGUAAAGGAGAGCGCGAGCGCGCACGCUCAGGUCUGUAAGAGAAGCGGCGCACGCGCAGACAGAGAUUCACGUUCUAAGCGUGGGUGUCUCGAGAGCGUUUGGCGGUUGGUGUGUGGAGGGAAACGAGGCUCGUGCCGGGGGCCGAGAAACGGUGCGGCGGGAGAGGAGUCGAGGCAGGGCGGGGCGGAGAGCGGCCCUUCACACUUGCCGGCUUCUCAUCCGCGGUGUCUCUCGCUGAAAGAAUUGGGGCUCCUGAGUGGGAAGAAGAUAGGAAGCAUAACGCGGGGCGGUCUAGUCCAUUAUGUGCGCCUCGCAAAAAAGGCAAUAUUUGAAUCUCAGUUUGCACUGGGUUGUUUUGAUUCUGCGCUUGGCUUGCCGCGUUUCGAAAUGAUUUACAGUGCAGUCCAAACCUUGCCUACUCAGAAGUAGGCCCAGUUGAGUUCAGUGGGGUUUACUCCUAGGUAAGUUGGGCUACCGUUACACCCAUGUGUGUGUUGCUGUUUUAAUUAGAUGUAUUUUAUUGUACCAUGUGAGUUGCGUUGACCUAAACGUGUUUGAAUGAGGUAAAGGUAAAGGGACCCCUGACUAUUAGGUCGAGUGCUGGCCGACUCUGGGGUUGCGGCGCUCAUCUCGUUUUAUUGGCCGAGGUAGCCAGCAUACAGCUUCCGGGUCAUGUGGCCAGCAUGACUAAGCCACUUCUGGCGAACCAGAGCAGCGCACAGAAACGCCGUUUACCUUCCCGCUGGGGUGGUACCUAUUUAUCUACUUGCACUUUGAUGUGCUUUCGAACUGCUAGGUUGGCAGGAACAGGGUCCGAGCAACGGGAGCUCACCCCGUCACGGGGAUUCAAACCGCCAACCUUCUGAUAGUCAAGUCCUAGGCUCUGUGGUUUAACCCACAGCCCCACCCGCAUCCCUCCUUUGAAUGAAGUAAGGAAUAAAUCACAGUGCUAAGUCGGGGAGCAGACAACUUUGUUGCAUUGUCACCAGCAAGGCAGAACUGAGACCUCUGCCCAUUUCUGGCCUCAGGAUUUUAUUUUAUUUUUUAAGUUUCUCUCCUGCAAUUGUCUUCAAAGUUUGAACACAAUCAAAAGCAUAUUUAAAUUACCGUAUUUUUCGCUCUAUAACACGCACAUUGUUUUUAGAGGAGGAAAACAAGGGAAAAAACAUUCUGAAUGAAACAGUGGAUGUAUCAUUUUUGUGCUUCAUGCUGUGGCCACAGACAUGUGAUCUGAUGGUGAAUUUGGGGUGACCCAAUGCAAAAAUCCUGAGAAUUCCCGUGGAUCCAUGCUUUGUAACCAUGUUUUUGCACCAUUGCAGCCCCAGGCAACAGUGGGUGCGUGAUUUUUGGGGGGCAGGCUGUAGCCAUGGACAUGCUAUGUGCUCUGAUGGUGAAUUUGGGGUGACCCAAUGCAAAGAUCCUGAGGAUCCAUGUGGAUCCAUGCUUUGUAACCACAUUUUAAGUGGGGAGGGAAGGAAAAACACAGAAGGGACAAGGAGCACGAGAGGGGUGUGCAGAGAAGCAGCUGGCUAAGAAUGCAGGAGAGGGGUAUAACUGGCUAAGAAUGCAGGAGAGUGGGGAGGAAAGGAAGGCAAAAGUUUUCCCCCACCCAAGCCAGCCAGCUCGCGCUCUCUCCCACCUGCAUGUUUUCCGGCUGCCUGAUAUAUAAACAUCACUCUAACAUUCCUUAAUUUUGCAGUGUUUCUGAAGAUAGUCUUUGAAUUUCUUCCAAUCUUCCUCCAUCGACUCUUCUCCCUGGUCACGGAUUCUACCAGUCAUUUCCGCCAAUUCCAUAUAGUCCAUAAGUUUCAUCUGCCAUUCCUCCAGCGUGGGAAGUUCUUGUGUCUUCCAAUACUUUGCGAUGAGUAUUCUUGCUGCUGUUGUUGCAUACAUAAAGAAAGUUCUAUCCUUCUUUACCACCAUUUGGCCGACUAUGCCCAGGAGGAAGGCCUCUGGUUUCUUAGGGAAGGUAUACUUAAAUACCUUUUUUAGUUCAUUAUAUAUCAUUUCCCAGAAAGCCUUAAUCUUUGGGCACGUCCACCAAAGGUGAAAAAAUGUACCUUCAAUUUCUUUACAUUUCCAACAUUUAUUAUCGGGCAAGUGAUAGAUUUUUGCAAGCUUGACUGGGGUUAUGUACCACCGGUAUAUCAUUUUCAUAAUAUUCUCUCUUAAGGCAUUACAUGCCGUAAAUUUCAUACCUGUGGUCCAUAACUGUUCCUAGUCAGCAAACAUAAUGUUAUGACCAACGUCCUGUGCCCAUUUAAUCAUAGCCGAUUUUACCGUUUCAUCCUGAGUAUUCCAUUUCAGCAACAAGUUGUACAUUCUUGACAAAUUCUUAGUUUUGGGUUCCAACAAUUCUGUUUCUAAUUUGGAUCUUUCCACCUGGAAGCCAAUUUUCCUGUCCAAUUUAAAUACCUCCAUUAUCUGAUAAUAAUGAAGCCAGUCUCGCACUUUGUUUUUUAGUUUUUCAAAACUCUGCAAUUUCAGUCUAUCUCCGUCUGAUUUUUUUUUUUUAAUUGCCUUGACAGAAGAAAGCAUUUUAACUGCAUUAAGAACUAUUUAGCAGCGAAACCUAAGCUUUGCCAUCCCUUAAGAGGUACAGACACUGUAAUCUUCCAGAUCGCAUGAAUUUACUGGCAAAACACUGUUUAAGGAUUUCAUCCUUUUAAAUGGAAGAAAGCGUAUUUGAAUGCUGUGUGUCCUCAAAAACAAAAGCAAAAAGUCAAAUCAGAAUUUUAAGCUGAACCUGUAAUCUCUCUUCCCUUCGCAAACAUUGUUCCCUCCGGAGCAUGGAGAGGAAUUAGAAGGAAGGACACUGCUUUCCCCUCUGCUUGCCUGGAGGGGAGGGGCUUUCCCUGCUCUUUGUUCCGUUGGAGCAAACACAGCAACGAAACAGAGAGGGUGGGCAGUAAGACCCUGAGGCAGAAUGCAGGAAAGCAGCCGCUUCCUCUUUUCAGGUUUCCCUUCUCCGAGACACGAUUUGAUUUUUGCCUGAUUUUGCCUCCACUCGCGCCAUUCGGCUCCAGGGACCACACAUUCGCUCAAUAACAUGCACAGGCAUUUCCCCUUCCUUUUUAGGAGAAAAAAUCUGCGUGUUAUAGAGAGAAAAAUACGGUAUCUCCUGGUUUGAAGGCGAGUCAUGGGACUUUAAAAGCUUAGGCUCUCUUGGGUCUCUGCUGCUUUCUGGAUUGUCACCUUUUGGCCCAACCCCUCUUGGAGUUCUAAUUAGUUGGAUUAUGGCUUCUUAGAAGGAAGCUAUCCAGUAUAACCUCUCAGAUGCUUUCACAGGGACCAUAAGGUUGUACCCUGGCUCUUUGGUCUCAGAAAGGGAAAAGUAGCCGUUUGAUAUCACCUAGGUGAAAAUUAAGAGAAAAAAUAAAUGAGAUCCCAUUAUUUGGAUAGCAUACGGUGAGUAAAAUGUUUUUGGAGUAUGCACCAAUGGCCAGCCAUUGGGUGGCAUGAGAAGUGGUGGUAAUGACUGCUGCAUGUUAGGAGGUGAACAUGGUUAUAAAGAAACCUUUUUCACGAUCAUUUCAAAUGUAUUGGUGUUCUGUCUUUCCUUAAAGAUACAAAAUAAAACCAAACACAGAGAAUAGCUGUAUGUGUAAUGGGGUGGGGAAAGAAAUUUUGCUAAUGUUCACCAUUUCUUUUAAAAAUUGAGUUGGGGAGUAGAAAAUGGACAAUCUUGAAGUAACAUAAUUGGGGGAGGGGGAAUCAUACAAGGUAAUCUGCCUGUGGACUGAUUUUGAGUAGGAGCUGUUAGAGUUAUCUACUCUUGGUCAGAAAUUACAUCACAGAAUGUUCCCAAUAGGUAUUUUGAAAGUCAGAUUACAAUCAUAUACACACUCACAUGGGACUAAGUCUCAUUAAGCUUCUGGUCUGAAUAGAUGUCUAUCAGGUUGCACUAUUGUGAAACCCAAGUCACACCAUGUUUGUAAAUACAGUUCAUUGCCUUUGAAAUAUACCCUGCUUUUUCAGAUAUAUUAUCAUAGAAUCAAAGAAUCAUAGAGUUGGAAGAGACCACAAGGGCCAUCGAGUCCAAACCCCUGCCAAGCAGGAAACACCAUCAGAGCACUCCUGACAUAUGGUUGUCAAGCCUCUGCUUAAAGACUUCCAAAGAAGGAGAUUCCACCACACUCCUUGGCAGCAAAUUCCACUGUCGAACAGCUCUUACUGUCAGGAAGUUCUUCCUAAUGUUUAGGUGGAAUCUUCUUUCUUGUAGUUUGGAUCCAUUGCUCCGUGUCCGCUUCUCUGGAGCAGCAGAAAACAACCUUUCUCCCUCCUCUAUGUGACAUCCUUUUAUAUAUUUGAACAUGGCUAUCAUAUCACCCCUUAACCUCCUCUUCUCCAGGCUAAACAUGCCCAGCUCCCUUAGCCGUUCCUCAUAAGGCAUCGUUUCCAGGCCUUUGACCAUUUUGGUUGCCCUCCUCUGGACACGUUCCAGUUUGUCAGUGUCCUUCUUGAACUGUGGUGCCCAGAACUGGACACAGUACUCCAGGUGAGGUCUGACCAGAGCAGAAUACAGUGGCACUAUUUCUUCCCUUGAUCUAGAUGCUAUACUCCUAUUGAUGCAGCCCAGAAUUGCAUUGGCUUUUUAGCUGCCGCGUCACACUGUUGGCUCAUGUCAAGUUUGUGGUCAACCAAGACUCCUAGAUUCUUUUCACAUGUACUGCUCUCAAGCCAGGUGUCACCCAUCUUGUAUUUGUGCCUCUCAUUUUUUUGCCCAAGUGCAAUACUUUACAUUUCUCCCUGUUAAAAUUCAUCUUGUUUGUUUUGGCCCAGUUCUCUAAUCUGUCAAGGUCGUUUUGAAGUGUGAUCCUGUCCUCUGGGGUGUUAGCCACCCCUCCCAGUUUGGUGUCAUCUGCAAAUUUGAUCAGGAUGCCCUUGAGUCCAUCAUCCAAGUUGUUGAUAAAGAUGUUGAAUAAGACCGGGCCCAAGACAGAACCCUGUGGCACCCCACUAGUCACUCUUCUCCAGGAUGAAGAGGAACCAUUGAUGAGCACCCUUUGGGUUCGGUCAGUCAGCCAGUUACAAAUCCACUGAGUGGUAGCAUAGUCAAGACCGCAUUUUACCAGCUUCUUUACAAGAAUAUCAUGGGGCACCUUGUCAAAUGCCUUGCUGAAAUCAAGGUAGGCUACAUCCACUGCGUUCCCUUCAUCUACCAGGCUUGUAAUUCUGUCAAAAUCGAGAUCAGGUUAGUCUGACAUGACUUAUUUUUCAGAAAUCCAUGCUGACUAUUGGUGAUCACAGCAUUCCUUUCUAGGUGCUCACAGACUGUUUGCUUAAUGAUCUGCUCCAGAAUCUUCCCUGCUAUUGAUGUCAGACUGACUGGGUGGUAAUUAUUUGGGUCCUCUCUUUCCCCUUUUUGAAAAUAGGGACAACAUUUGCCCUCCUCCAGUCUGCCGGGACUUCGCCUGUUCUCCAGGAAUUCUCAAAGAUGACUGCCAGUGGUUCUGAGAUCACAUCUGCCAGUUCUUUUAAUACUCUUGGAUGCAGUUCAUCUGGCCCUGGAGACUUGAAUACAUCUAAACUAGCCAAGUAUUCUUGUACUAUCUCCUUAGUUAUUCUGGGCUGUGUUUCCUCUGCUGAAUCAUUUGCUCCAAAUUCUUCAGGUCGGGCAUUGUUUUCUUUAUCGGAGAAGACUGAGGCAAAGAAGGCAUUGAGGAGUUCAGCCCUUUCUGUGUCCCCUGUUUGCAUUUCACCAUCUUCUCCUCUGAGUGACCCCACUGUUUCUUUGUUCUUCCUUUUGCUAUGAACAUACCCAUAAAAGCCUUUUUGUUGCUUUUAACCUCCUAGCAAGCCUGAGUUCAUUCUGUGCUUUAGCUUUUCUGACUUUAUGUCUACACGUGCUGGCUAUUUGUUUGAAUUCCUCUUUGGUGGUUUCCCCCCUUUUCCAUUUUUUGUACACAUCCUUUUUUAAUCUUAACUCAGUUAAAAGUUCAUUAGAUAGCCACCCUGGCUUCUUUAGGCACCUUCCAUGUUUCCGUCUCAUUGGUAUUGCCUGAAGUUGUGCUUUUACUAUCUCCCUCUUAACAAACUCCCAGCCAUCAUGAACUCCCUUUCCUUUUAGUAUUACUGUCCAUGGGAUCUCACCCAGCACUUCCCUAAGUUUUAUGAAGUCGGCUUUCUUAAAGUCAAGAAAUUGAGUCCUAGUAUGCUUGGCUGCUCCUUUCCACUGUAUAGUAAACUUCAGAAGAGCAUGAUCACUCGUGCCUAAUGAUCCUUCCACUUCUACCCCACUAACCAGGUCAUCAACAUUGGUUAGGACCAGAUCUAAAAUGGCUGUUCCUCUUGUUGCUUCUCCCACUUUCUGGACAAUGAAGUUGUCUGCAAGGCCAGUGAGGAAUCUGUUUGACCUUAUGCUCUUGGCUGAGUUUGACAUCCAACAAAUAUCCGGGUAAUUGAAGUCUCCCAUUACUACUAUCUCCCUUCCUUUUGCAUGCUUGGCCAUCUGUUCCAGGAAGGCAUCAUCUAUGUCCUCCGUUUGGCUUGGGGAUCUAUAGUAAACUCCCACAAUGAGGUCACUGUUAUUCUUCUCUCCCUUAAUUUUGACCCAAAUGCUCUCACUUUGGCUUUGAGGUUCUAAAUCUUGGAUCUCUUCACAGGUAUACACAUCCCUGACAUAUAACGCCACUCCUCCUCCUUUCUUGUCUGGUCUGUUUCUCUGAAAUAGAUUGUAUCCCUCCAUUAUUACAUUCCAAUCGUGGGACUUAUCCCACCAGGUUUCAGUGAUGCCUAUUAUGUCAUAUUUAGUUUGCUGUACCAAGAGCUCAAGCUCAUCUUGUUAGUUCCCAUGCUUUGCGCAUUAGUGUACAGACAUUGAAGUCCAUUAAUCAUUCUAUCGCAGCUAACUAAAAAAUGUGGUGCCCUAUAACGAAAGUGUACCCUAGUCAAUUUAAGCAGAAGUAAGGGAAUCAAAUCCAUAUUUUGCCUAAAAUAACAUACAGAGGUCCACAGUGACCGUGAUUUAAGCUCUCCCAUGGAAACAAUGGGACAUAUUUGGUUGGAGGGUUCCCCAAAUUGAUGCACAUUGGGUUGGGUAGCUCUUACGCUCUACAUGGGGCUACCUUUGAAGGUGACCCGGAAACUACAACUAAUCCAGAAUGCGGCAGCUAGACUGGUGACUGGGAGUGGCUGCCGGGACCACAUAACACCGGUCCUGAGAGAUCUGCAUUGGCUCCCAGUACGUUUCCGAGCACAAUUCAAAGUGUUGGUGCUGACCUUUAAAGCCCUAAACGGCCUCAGUCCUGUAUACCUGAAGGAGCAUCUCCACCCCCAUCGUUCAGCCCGGACACUGAGAUCCAGCGCCGAGGGCCUUCUGGCAGUUCCCUCAUUGCGAGAAGUAAGGUUACAGGGAACCAGACAGAGGGCCUUCUCAGUAGUGGCGUCCACCCUGUGGAACACCCUCCCUUCAGAUGUUAAGGAAAUAAGUAGCUAUCCUAUCUUUAAAAGACAUCUGAAGGCAGCCCUGUUCAGGGAAGUUUUUAAUAUUUAACGCUGUACUGUUUUUAAUACUUGAUUGGGAACCGCACAGAGUGGCUGGGGAGACUCAGCCAGAUGGGCGGGGUAUAAAUAAUAAAUUAUUAUUAUUAUUGUUGUUGUUGUUGUUGUUGUUGUUAUAGUUAGUUGGGUUCUAGGGCUGCUAGGAAGGAUGUACAGGUUAAUGUGAUUGUAGGCUCAAUGCAAGUCAGCAAAGUGGUGAUGCUGCAAAAAAGAGGAAGAAGCAAAUCCUGUUUUGAAUUUAUUAAGAGAAGCUUUCAAGACAUAAGAGGUAAUGACACUUCUCGCUGUGACGCUUAUUAUAGGUCUCUGAAGUGCUGCAUCAUGUGUUCACAUUUUAAUUAUACAAACAAACGAGAAGAUUCUGAAGACAAACUCAGAGUUGAGAAUAGCAUGCAGAAGGCAGUAGACAUUUUCACGUAAAGAAAAGUAGCUUGGGGAAGAGGAUGUGGAAUUAAUUUUUAUAUAUUUAAUGGAUUCAUCUAAGAAGGAUGAAAAAUGAGUUGAAGUUUUAACCAAAUUUAGGUUAGAUUAUGUAUAACUAAUUGUAAACAGCUGAGCAGUGAAAUGCUGCUCUAGGAAAUAGAGAAGGGUGGAAAAUAACACUUCACCAAUGCUAUAGAAAGGUGUGAAUCCAACAUGAGUCCAGCCUUUGCUUCAACUAUAAUUGGAUUAACUGGAAUUAUCUCGCCAAGCUAAUUUCAAGACUUCUUUGCCUUUGAGGGUAUAAGUGAUGUUGUUUUGGCUACAGCUGUGAAGUACUUCUGAGACAACUAAUUUUGCCUGAUCUGGAACAGUUUUGCAUUCUUAUUUCUGAAUUCACACCCAUUUUCAAACGUUUUUGUGGACUACUUGAAGCUUGCUAGGGUUCUCGAUGGAUCAUUUACACAUUUUUUUGUUCUGCAAUGUAUAAUAGAUUUCACUUCUGAAUUAAAUUUGAAUAAAAAAUAACUUUCUUCAGCACUGGUCUAUUGAAAUCCAGCACUGUUAUGAAAUCAUAUUCCUAGACCAGGCUGCUAAGAAAGGCCCCUUUAAAUCAUAGUAAAAAAAAGAGAGAGAGACAGCUCAUAAUAAUUAUAUCACAGGUCUUAGGUCAGGGGCUUGUUAAUUAAUCCAUUCAUGUUUUAAAUGGUUUUGAACUACAUCGGGGUGGGGUGGGAAAGACAACUAAAUUGAAAUUCCCCAUACAUUUUUGCUACACACUAAUGCCAGUUACGGAGAAAAGCAGUGCCAGUUCCAAACCCUCCCAUUCAGGCUGACCUCAGCCCUAUGGUGGUUUUCCCCACCAAACCCCUGGGGACCCACAUUGGCCUCCUCAGGCCCCAGGACAUAUUGGUUUACCUUUCUGGACGACCUACCGAUACACUGUAUCUUGACGAACAUGACAUAGAACAGCCUGAUCCCCUCCCAAAUGUUGAUUCACCUGGGAGUAGGCUCAACACUGAGGUGGGCAGAAACAGCCUAUCCCCUGAACACCAGUUUUCCAUGAUUAUUCUGGUACAUGCCAAGGCUAAAAUGUGACUUCUACAGCAAGCCAAGUCGUUAGGGGAAAGUAUCUUCUGCCUGAAACUAGGCUAUUCAGCAGGCUAUUCCAGACCUUCCCCCUUGACUAGAAAUACCAGGUUAUAGCUAGCUUCAGCCUACUAGCUACGGUGUCAACACUGUGGCAUAGUGAGUGGACAACCUGCCCUAUGGGGCUGGGAAAUGGGGGGGGGCAUGUGUGAGAUGUGCUCACAGGGAGUGUGAUUUGAGGCAUUCAAGAACAUUAAAAUUCAGGGCCAUUAAAUUGGCAAUACCUCAUUCUGAUCCACACCCCCAGGGGAGACCUGUCCUGAUAAAGACAGAAAACAUGGUGGCAAAGGCAUGCAUAAACAGGCAGUGGAGCACAAGGUCCAAGUCCAUGUGGUUGGAGGCAACUGAGAUAGGCAGUUCCAAUCAGGAAGACCACCUUAGAAGAGUCAAAGCCCUUUUUUCUCCAGCUUUGUGUGCUCCCUGUGCUAAGGAGGCUAAUGUAGCCCUUUCUUUAAAAAACAACAACAAAAACCCACCUUUAUUAUCAACUAACUUUGAGCUGACAUCACAUCUCAGUGUUUUACUGCAUUUGUUCUUUGUUUCAUUGUUCUAUUUUAUUGUAUCGUAUAUAUUCUAUCAUAUUUAAUGAGUUUCAUUUAAACUGCUUUGGAGAUGUAUUUUGGCU
This 9851-nucleotide long non-coding RNA is filed under the name Podarcis lilfordi (Lilford's wall lizard). The record is from RNAcentral. Lineage: Eukaryota; Metazoa; Chordata; Lepidosauria; Squamata; Lacertidae.